UGUCCAGGUUUACCGCAUUCAUAGCAAGUAACCUUUUCACUUCUUGAUUCAUUUCUGCUUGGCCCUUUUUGCCUAUGCUUGCCUUGGAACCCUUUGAAGUUCUGCUUCUUCAUGAAUCUUCCAAAGUUUCUUGCAAGCAUAUUUAUUUGAUCACCAUCUUCAUCUGAUUCAGAUAAUGCCUCCUCAUUAUCUGUUGGUUCAGUUUGUUUGGAUCUUGAAGAUGAUGCCUUAAGUGCUAGACUCCUUCUUUUGUUGUUUACUUCUUCGGAUUGAGAAAGUCUCCCAAGUUCCAUUUCGUGCUCCUUUAGUUUACCGAAGAGAGUAGCAACAGGCAUUUGUGACAGAUCCUUGGCUUCAGUUAUGGCUGUC
This 369-nucleotide long non-coding RNA is filed under the name Lupinus mutabilis. Its description in RNAcentral is "partial ncRNA". Lineage: Eukaryota; Viridiplantae; Streptophyta; Magnoliopsida; Fabales; Fabaceae. The record is from RNAcentral.